AAGACCUUGCGCUUUUGGAGCGGCCGAUGCCUGAUUAGCUUGUUGGUAAGGUAAAGGCUUACCAAGGCUUCGAUCAGUAGCUGGUCUGAGAGGACGGUUAGCUACAUUGGGACUGAGACACGGCCCAGACUCCUACGGGAGGCAGCAGUGGGGAAUUUUGGACAAUGGGGGAAACCCUGAUCCAGCCAUGCCGCGUGAGUGAAGAAGGCCUUCGGGUUGUAAAGCUCUUUCAGCCGGAACGAAACGGUUACGGAUAAUACCCGUGACUACUGAUGGUACCGGAAGAAGAAGCACCGGCUAACUACGUGCCAGCAGCCGCGGUAAUACGUAGGGUGCGAGCGUUAAUCGGAAUUACUGGGCGUAAAGCGUGCGCAGGUGGUUUUGUAAGUCAGAUGUGAAAGCCCCGGGCUCAACCUGGGAACU
RNAcentral lists this ribosomal RNA (423 nucleotides) under uncultured bacterium. Its description in RNAcentral is "bacterial SSU rRNA". It matches the Rfam family "Bacterial small subunit ribosomal RNA", at positions 207 to 622 of the family's 1533-position model. The record is from RNAcentral.